RNAcentral lists this long non-coding RNA (824 nucleotides) under Manihot esculenta (cassava). Its description in RNAcentral is "long non-coding RNA (MESC_LNC006816)". Lineage: Eukaryota; Viridiplantae; Streptophyta; Magnoliopsida; Malpighiales; Euphorbiaceae. The record is from RNAcentral.
CCAGCUAAGCCAAGAAGAAGAGGAAAAUCUCCUUGAUGUGUUGAGGAAGCAUAAAGAAGCAAUUGGGUGGACCUUGGAGGACAUAAAAGGCACCUCAAGACCAUUCGGUGGAGGCUCAUCUCACCAGAAUCAAAGACAGAAUGCAAAGGAUGGAGCACCUAUUGGACCUGCUGGUGGACCAUUUUCUGCCCCAGCACCGUGACAGAUAGCGAUUUGCCCAGUGAUUUGCCCAGUGCUUGCCCAAAUCACUGGCCAAAUCACCCACAGGCCAAGAAGUCCCUUUCCCUUUCUUUCCUUAAUUUUUUUUUAUAUAUGCUUACACAUUGAGGACAAUGUUUGUCAUAGGUGUGGGGGUAUUACUAGGUUAUUUUUUGCAUUGAUUUACAUUGAUUCCAUCAUCUUUUGCUUUCUACUUGUGUCUUUUUGUUUCUUUUUGCAUCUUUUUGCCCCAUGACAUACACCACACAUUUUUUUUCUUGGCACACAUUUUUUCUUGCACACACACACAGAAUUUUGUCUUAGCUUUUGCUCUACUCAACAUAGAUAACAAGGUUAAAAGAGUUUCCUUAUCUCAUGACCCCAUUGAUUUGCCACCCCUUUAAGCUUAAAUUGAAUCAUUCACAGUAUGUUACCUUCACUUAGGGAGUUGUUCUCUUGAAUUGAAUCCUCAAAUUUGCUAAGGUCAAGGGAAAUAAAAAUACAAAUACAUGCAAACACAAAGUUAGUGUAACUCCCUAUGAGCUGAUUUGCCCAAACUAUCAUAAAAAACCAGCAUAAAGCACAAAUCAUAAACUUGUUCCAAUGGUUUAAGACUAUGAACUGAG